GCGGGGGUCGCGAAGCCAGGUCAAACGCGGAGGACUCAAGAUCCUUUCCCUUUAGGGGUUCGUGGGUUCGAAUCCCACCCCCCGCA
This 86-nucleotide transfer RNA is filed under the name Candidatus Poseidoniia archaeon. RNAcentral describes it as "tRNA-Leu". It matches the Rfam family "tRNA". From Rfam's summary of the family: Transfer RNA (tRNA) molecules are approximately 80 nucleotides in length. Their secondary structure includes four short double-helical elements and three loops (D, anti-codon, and T loops). The record is from RNAcentral. Lineage: Archaea; Methanobacteriati; Thermoplasmatota; Candidatus Poseidoniia.